RNAcentral lists this ribosomal RNA (269 nucleotides) under uncultured bacterium. RNAcentral's name for it is "partial 16S ribosomal RNA". It matches the Rfam family "Bacterial small subunit ribosomal RNA", at positions 524 to 794 of the family's 1533-position model. The record is from RNAcentral.
GACGUAGGGGCGAGCGUUGUCCGGAUUUAUUGGGCGUAAAGCGCGCGCAGGCGGCCCGGAAAGUCGGAUGUGAAACCUGGGGCUCAACCCCAGGCCUGCAUCCGAAACUUCCGGGCUAGAGGCAGGUAGGGGAGAUCGGAAUUCCUGGUGUAGCGGUGAAAUGCGCAGAUAUCAGGAGGAACACCGGUGGCGAAGGCGGAUCUCUGGGCCUGUCCUGACGCUCAGGCGCGAAAGCCAGGGGAGCGAACGGGAUUAGAUACCCGGGUAGU